This 450-nucleotide ribosomal RNA is filed under the name uncultured bacterium. Its description in RNAcentral is "partial 16S ribosomal RNA". It matches the Rfam family "Bacterial small subunit ribosomal RNA", at positions 354 to 796 of the family's 1533-position model. The record is from RNAcentral.
GUGGGGAAUAUUGGACAAUGGGCGAAAGCCUGAUCCAGCCAUGUCGCGUGUGUGAAGAAGGUCUUCGGAUUGUAAAGCACUUUAAGUUGGGAGGAAGGGUAGUAACCUAAUACGUUGCUACUUUGACGUUACCGACAGAAUAAGCACCGGCUAACUUCGUGCCAGCAGCCGCGGUAAUACGAAGGGUGCAAGCGUUAAUCGGAAUUACUGGGCGUAAAGCGCGCGUAGGUGGUUCAGUAAGUUGGAAGUGAAAUCCCCGGGCUCAACCUGGGAACUGCUUUCAAAACUGCUGGGCUGGAGUACGGUAGAGGGUGGUGGAAUUUCCGGUGUAGCGGUGAAAUGCGUAGAUAUAGGAAGGAACACCAGUGGCGAAGGCGACCACCUGGACUGAUACUGACACUGAGGUGCGAAAGCGUGGGGAGCAAACAGGAUUAGAUACCCCAGUAGUCC